This 206-nucleotide long non-coding RNA is filed under the name Elaeis guineensis (African oil palm). RNAcentral's name for it is "long non-coding RNA (EGUI_LNC001315)". The record is from RNAcentral. Lineage: Eukaryota; Viridiplantae; Streptophyta; Magnoliopsida; Arecales; Arecaceae.
GACCCUAUAUUUAUAUUAUAAGUAUCUAAAAUUAUUUUUGAGUAGGCUGGUCUGAAUCCCAUAGGAAAAAAAAUGAUCUCAGCGGCCAGUCCAUUCAAACAUUGGUUCUGGAUACUUGUAAAUAAAUGGCCUGAUCUACUUAUACUUCAUUAUUUUUUAUGCUUGGGCGACGAAUUUUAUAAGAUUUUGAGUCCAACCAUCCAAAC